This 304-nucleotide ribosomal RNA is filed under the name uncultured bacterium. RNAcentral describes it as "partial 16S ribosomal RNA". It matches the Rfam family "Bacterial small subunit ribosomal RNA", at positions 506 to 809 of the family's 1533-position model. The record is from RNAcentral.
CAGCAGUAGCCGCGGUAAUACGGAGGGGGCUAGCGUUGUUCGGAAUUACUGGGCGUAAAGCGCACGUAGGCGGCUUGGUAAGUUAGAGGUGAAAGCCCGGAGCUCAACUCCGGAAUUGCCUUUAAGACUGCCGAGCUAGUAGGUGAGAGAGGUAAGUGGAAUUCCGAGUGUAGAGGUGAAAUUCGUAGAUAUUCGGAAGAACACCAGUGGCGAAGGCGGCUUACUGGCUCAUUCUAGACGCUGAGGUGCGAAAGCGUGGGGAGCAAACAGGAUUAGAUACCCGUGUAGUCCCUGUCUCUUAUAA